AAAGUUUGACAGACAAUCGCUGGCGGCUUCGAGCUGCGAGAGGAAAGUCCGGGCUCCAUAGGGCAGAAUGCUGGAUAACGUCCAGUCAGCGCGAGCUGAAGGAUCAGGGCCACAGAAAUGGACCGCCGAUGGCCUUUAAAACCCCACAAAGUGACGUGAUGCUUCGAAGCAUAUUCCGAUUACUUUCCGGGGACCCCAACGGGAAAUAGGCACAGGCAAGGAUGGAACCGUGGUGUAAGAGACCACGAGGAACACUGGCGACUUUGUUCCUGGUAAACCCCAUUUGGAGCAAGACCGAAGAGAACGCCGCAUUUAACUGCAGCCCUUGCCCGGGGUGCGUUCGGGUUGGUCGCUUGAGCCGUUCAGCAAUGGACGGCCUAGAAAGAUGAUUGUCGCUUCUCUAGUGGGAGGCCGGCGCAAGCCGUCCGCGAUCACCACCGGAAGCACAGAACCCGGCUUACGGCAAUCUUUCCGG
Molecule: RNase P RNA, 475 nt
Filed under: Cohnella kolymensis
Lineage: Bacteria; Bacillati; Bacillota; Bacilli; Caryophanales; Paenibacillaceae
Description: bacterial RNase P
Rfam family: Bacterial RNase P class A
About the family: Ribonuclease P (RNase P) is a ubiquitous endoribonuclease, found in archaea, bacteria and eukarya as well as chloroplasts and mitochondria. Its best characterised activity is the generation of mature 5'-ends of tRNAs by cleaving the 5'-leader elements of precursor-tRNAs.
Source: RNAcentral